This 74-nucleotide transfer RNA is filed under the name Pteropus alecto (black flying fox). It matches the Rfam family "tRNA". From Rfam's summary of the family: Transfer RNA (tRNA) molecules are approximately 80 nucleotides in length. The record is from Rfam by way of RNAcentral. Lineage: Eukaryota; Metazoa; Chordata; Mammalia; Chiroptera; Pteropodidae.
GGCUCCAUAGUGUAGUGGUUAGCACGUCUGCUUUACACGCAGAAGGUCCUGGGUUCGCACGCCAGGUGGAGCCA